Long non-coding RNA from Oncorhynchus tshawytscha (Chinook salmon), 2584 nucleotides. The record is from Ensembl. Lineage: Eukaryota; Metazoa; Chordata; Actinopteri; Salmoniformes; Salmonidae.
CUUCCUCAAUGGAAAUUACCGAAGCAAAACACUUGCAAAGACUGGUGUCUCCCUUUUGACAUUCAAUCACCUUCUCGGGGGUGACAGACAAAAGAAUGUAACGUAAUUGGGGCGUGAUUUUGCUUUCCCAUGCCUUAGUUGUUUUUACGGGGGUAAAAACCGUCAGCCUUGCAGAAGGAAUACGAUGCAUUGUCUGCUACCUCAACAUUCUCAAAAAUGGAACUACACAAUUCCACCACAUCUCCCAGCUUGCGAGAUUGUGCCCUCGUUAACACAAGCAGGAAAAACAUGGGGAAAUGCUUGAACCAAUUUAUCAUCUGCAGUUUUGACAUCUGGGUUGUCUACUACUUCUAACACAGGAGUUACGUUACCACCAGCGAUAUUGUUCUCUAGUAGCAAUGGGACUCCUUUUACAGGCAGUGUUGACACUACACCAACACGGAAACGUCCUGAUACCAAGUCUGACACUAAGUGGACCCAGUGUAAUGGUAGAGGUAUGUUUUUUUUGUCUCUAUACCCUGUAAUAUGACAUGCGAGCCACAAUAGGUUUCAGGGGACCGGGUAAAAGCGUCAGUAAUGAUUACUGACUGCACAGUCCUGGUGUCUUGUAAGAGUUGAUCUGCUUGUUCUCCAGUUAAGGGAACAACCAGCAGAUAUAAAACAGAGCAUAGAUAGGAUCCGGUUUCCCAAAUGCUUAAUCAGUAACUCGGUCCAACGGACGAGCCAAAGACGGUACUAAAACCCACGCUUUUUAAUUUAGGGGAUGGUGACAGGGAUUGUUUCGGUUUAUUUUGCAAAACUGGGCAGUCCGCAAUCACGUGACCCUUUUGGUGAAAUCCUGCGACGGCUAGGGUCGUUGUAGGAAAAGAAAAAAAACCUGAACGAGGCACUGAAGAUGUUAGGCUUUCAAAAUGAAGCACACCAGCGUACUCAUCUGCCAACACUGCUGCCUGGGCCAAUGUCGCCACUUUCUGUUCAUUUCAAUGAACUACUACUCUCAGGCAGGUUGCUUUUAAAAUCCUCCAACAGCAUCAACUUCCGAAUAUCAAAGGUGUUAGCGUAACGGGCCGAACACCAGCGAUUGAACAGACUUUUUGUCCCUAGCAAACUCAACAAAAGUACGGUGAGAGGGUUUGUGGUUCCUGAAGCGCUGCCUUUAAGCUUCAGGCACCAACUCAUAAGCCCGCAACACGUUUGUUUUAACUAUAUCGUAUAGUGUAAACUUGUCUUCCAGGGAGAAAGCGGCUAUUACUUCCUGGGCUUUUCCAGACAAUUUACAUUACAACAGGAGCGGCCAAUGCAGCGCAGCGGCCACAUGCUAAAACGCAGAGAAAUAGGAAUCAGCUUCCGAAAUGGAAGGACUAAUGCAAUAUUUUUACUCACUUCAAAGUAGGCUUGAUGAUGGGUAGGUUGUGGAGUUAUCGGAUCCUCACCUCCUUGUCGGCUUAUAUGGCCAUUUUCCUCAUUUCUAAAUCAAACUCCAGCUGGAUAAACACACUUUAUAUUUUAGCUCCAUUUCCAAACAGGUCAGCACCACCUUUAGCCUAGCGGUCCCAUCUGAACAACCCGAAGCAGAAGAUAAAGGGUUGAAAUCGGGGCAAUGUAGAGGAGAAAGCUGAGUUGCUAUGGGAACAGGAACUGUAUGUUCCAUUUUGUUACUCUGUAUCUGCCCCUACUGCCACACCUUCCCUGCAAAUGACUGCCAGGUGAGCCUGAACUUUGCAGCUGAGGCAGAGAGGUUCUGUGCAGCCUUGGAGAGACAGAUCCAACAAGCCCCAGAUUUGGAAAGCAACACACACACACACACACACGUCACAUCACAUUUACAAUAUAAUUAGUUCUCUCAGCUUCAGGCAGGCCAGUCCUCUUCUCUUUCUCCCCUCGUCUCCUCUUCCCCGAUCUCGCUGUCUCACGUCACUCUUUCUCAUUUUCUCCCCAUAACACUUUAUUUUACUCUUUAUCUCUUGCUGUCUCUCUUCCUCUCCCUCUCUUUCUCAAACAGAGCUAGUGGGCAGACUCAGCUGAACCGUACUGACAGUGUGGACUCUGCCUCAGGCUGUUUGUGUGAACAGGAACAGAGCCGAUCUGGGAUCAGCACUCCAUCUCCAGAUGUGUCAGAACGAGAAAUAUAUAGGCCAACAUCAGCACACUGGAGCUUAUACAGACCCAGAUAAUUCAUUAUUAGAUGCAUUUUAUGAUGCUGCAUUAGAAUGGAAGAAAAUAUAAAUGGCUGUCUGACUGAUUUAAUCUUGUCUCUUAUCCAGACGGUAGUCCCAGGUGGGAGUGGGCCCAGAGCAAGGCCUCAGUUCUAGUGAGCUGGACCCUGCUCUGAGGAAUCUGCUCAGGAAGGCGGGGCUAAACAAGGAGGAUAUGAAGGACAGACACACCCUCCUCCUAGAGGGGCACACCCUGAGAUGAUCAGAAAGAGCUUUCAUCUGUGACGCAGUGGUGACCUGUCAUUCAGGGCAGAGCCCCACCUGUUAAGCUUUUUGUUGCCUGUUUUUCAUGUUAUUUUGGCAUUAAUACAUGUCACACAUGUUUGCAAACAAUGUAAAAUAAUAAUUGAGUUAAUAAAGCUACAAAC